UACGUAGGGGGCAAGCGUUGUCCGGAUUUAUUGGGCGUAAAGAGCGUGUAGGCGGCUUUGCAAGUCCGUUGUGAAAACUCGAGGCUCAACCUCGAGACGCCGGUGGAAACUGCAAAGCUAGAGUCCGGAAGAGGAGAGUGGAAUUCCUGGUGUAGCGGUGAAAUGCGCAGAUAUCAGGAGGAACACCGGUGGCGAAGGCGGGACUCUGGGCCGAUACUGACGCUGAGGAGCGAAAGCGUGGGGAGCGAACAGG
This 253-nucleotide ribosomal RNA is filed under the name uncultured bacterium. RNAcentral describes it as "partial 16S ribosomal RNA". It matches the Rfam family "Bacterial small subunit ribosomal RNA", at positions 524 to 776 of the family's 1533-position model. The record is from RNAcentral.